GAUGAACGCUGGCGGCGUGCCUAAUACAUGCAAGUCGAGCGAACGGACGAGAAGCUUGCUUCUCUGAUGUUAGCGGCGGACGGGUGAGUAACACGUGGAUAACCUACCUAUAAGACUGGGAUAACUUCGGGAAACCGGAGCUAAUACCGGAUGAUAUUUUGAACCGCAUGGUUCAAAAGUGAAAGACGGUCUUGCUGUCACUUAUAGAUGGAUCCGCGCUGCAUUAGCUAGUUGGUAAGGUAACGGCUUACCAAGGCAACGAUGCAUAGCCGACCUGAGAGGGUGGUCGGCCACACUGGAACUGAGACACGGUCCAGACUCCUACGGGAGGCAGCAGUAGGGAAUCUUCCGCAAUGGGCGAAAGCCUGGCGGAGCAACGCCGCGUGAGUGAUGAAGGUCUUCGGAUCGUAAAACUCUGUUAUUAGGGAAGAACAUAUGUGUAAGUAACUGUGCACAUCUUGACGGUACCUAAUCAGAAAGCCACGGCUAACUACGUG
RNAcentral lists this ribosomal RNA (497 nucleotides) under uncultured bacterium. Its description in RNAcentral is "partial 16S ribosomal RNA". It matches the Rfam family "Bacterial small subunit ribosomal RNA", at positions 28 to 507 of the family's 1533-position model. The record is from RNAcentral.